GACGAACGCUGGCGGCGUGCUUAACACAUGCAAGUCGAACGGAAAGGCCCUGCUUUUGUGGGGUGCUCGAGUGGCGAACGGGUGAGUAACACGUGAGUAACCUGCCCUUGACUUUGGGAUAACUUCAGGAAACUGGGGCUAAUACCGGAUAGGAGCUCCUGCUGCAUGGUGGGGGUUGGAAAGUUUCGGCGGUUGGGGAUGGACUCGCGGCUUAUCAGCUUGUUGGUGGGGUAGUGGCUUACCAAGGCUUUGACGGGUAGCCGGCCUGAGAGGGUGACCGGCCACAUUGGGACUGAGAUACGGCCCAGACUCCUACGGGAGGCAGCAGUGGGGAAUAUUGCACAAUGGGCGGGAGCCUGAUGCAGCAACGCCGCGUGCGAGAUGACGGCCUUCGGGUUGUAAACCGCUUUCGCCUGUGACGAAGCGUGAGUGACGGUAAUGGGUAAAGAAGCACCGGCUAACUACGUG
This 468-nucleotide ribosomal RNA is filed under the name uncultured bacterium. RNAcentral describes it as "partial 16S ribosomal RNA". It matches the Rfam family "Bacterial small subunit ribosomal RNA", at positions 28 to 507 of the family's 1533-position model. The record is from RNAcentral.